This 484-nucleotide ribosomal RNA is filed under the name uncultured bacterium. Its description in RNAcentral is "partial 16S ribosomal RNA". It matches the Rfam family "Bacterial small subunit ribosomal RNA", at positions 30 to 507 of the family's 1533-position model. The record is from RNAcentral.
AUUGAACGCUAGCGGGAUGCUUUACACAUGCAAGUCGAACGGCAGCGCGGACUUCGGUCUGGCGGCGAGUGGCGAACGGGUGAGUAAUGUAUCGGAACGUGCCCAGUAGCGGGGGAUAACUACGCGAAAGCGUAGCUAAUACCGCAUACGCCCUACGGGGGAAAGCAGGGGAUCGUAAGACCUUGCACUAUUGGAGCGGCCGAUAUCGGAUUAGCUAGUUGGUGAGGUAACGGCUCACCAAGGCGACGAUCCGUAGCUGGUUUGAGAGGACGACAAGCCACACUGGGACUGAGACACGGCCCAGACUCCUACGGGAGGCAGCAGUGGGGAAUUUUGGACAAUGGGGGCAACCCUGAUCCAGCCAUCCCGCGUGUGCGAUGAAGGCCUUCGGGUUGUAAAGCACUUUUGGCAGGAAAGAAACGUCGCGGGCUAAUACCCCGUGGAACUGACGGUACCUGCAGAAUAAGCACCGGCUAACUACGUG